GACGAACGCUGGCGGCGUGCUUAACACAUGCAAGUCGAACGGCAAGGCCCUGCUUUUGUGGGGUGCUCGAGUGGCGAACGGGUGAUUAACACUUGAGUAACCUGCCCUUGACUUUGGGAUAACUUCAGGAAACUGGGGCUAAUACCGGAUAGGAGCUCCUGCUGCAUGGUGGGGGUUGGAAAGUUUCGGCGGUUAGGGAUGGACUCUCGGCUUAUCAGCUUGUUGGUGGGGUAGUGGCUUACCAAGGCUUUGACGGGUAGCCGGUCUGAGAGGAUGACCAGCGUCACUGGGACUGAGAGACGGCCCAGACUCCGACGGGAGGGAGCAGUGGGGACUAUUGGACAAGGGGGGCAACCCUGAGCCAGCCAUGCCGCGUGAGUGAUGAAGGCCUUAGGGUUGUAAAGCUCUUUUGCCCGGGAAGAUAAUGACGGUACCGGGAGAAUAAGCCCCGGCUAACUUCGUG
RNAcentral lists this ribosomal RNA (463 nucleotides) under uncultured bacterium. RNAcentral's name for it is "partial 16S ribosomal RNA". It matches the Rfam family "Bacterial small subunit ribosomal RNA", at positions 28 to 507 of the family's 1533-position model. The record is from RNAcentral.